Long non-coding RNA from Panicum hallii, 1667 nucleotides. RefSeq lists it as uncharacterized. The record is from RefSeq and is a predicted model, not a curated record. Lineage: Eukaryota; Viridiplantae; Streptophyta; Magnoliopsida; Poales; Poaceae. The transcript is spliced from 4 exons.
CCUGCCCGUACCCGCUUGUCAAGUCCCAAUCGCGCACAUCCUCUGUUUUCUUCCUUCUCUGUCUCGCUCCACUUAUCCGUCCGCGCCGUCCUGCCCUCCCCGCUCCAUCGAAAUUGUCCUAUCCCCGGUCUGAGGAGACGCGGCGGCGGCGAUUGAUGGAGGUACGCGCCUGCAAGCCCGGCAAGAUCAUCCUCGCUGGCGAGCACGCCGUCGUACGGCUCCGCCGCCGUCGCCGCUGCAGUCGAUCUCUACACCACCUCUUCCCUCUGCCUCCUCACCGCAGGAGAGGAUGGCGGCGCAGGCGCGGUGCCGCGAUGGAGCUGGACCUCAGGGACUCGGGCCUCACCUUCUCUUGACCCUGCUCGCGCGUCCGUGCGACGCUGGGGGAGGUGGGCGGCAAGGCCGGGGCGCCGACGCCGUGCUCAGCCUCUACGUCCACCUCCGCAUCAGCCCCUAUGUCCACACGUAGUGGAACUUCCGGCUAUGGUGGGUCACUUGCAAGCGUGGGAGUACAAACUACACAAUGGUGCCGAUGCAUUGCAGUCCUGCUGCUAUGCCAUGCUGCUGAGGUGUUCGAUGGAUUGCCUACACUAUGAAAUCGGUAAUGGGGGAUACGAAGCAAGGACUAAAUCUUGCAUCAUUAUCUUUAACUAGAAGAGAGUGCCGCACGUAUUUUUAGAAAACUUAUAAAUAAGAAUUUUAAAACAACGUAUUCAAGCAAAAUGCUUAUUAGAAGGGGGCAAAACAGAGCAAUACAGGUAAUAAAUAGUAUUGGUUCAAUUUACAGGUUGUAAAUAAAUUGAUAUGCAGAACUACCAAGCACAUGCUCUGGCACUGCAUCUAAUAAAAGAUGGUCCUACGUAUUAUCUAAUAAGAUGCUCUGCCAUUGAUUUUUAGCUCAGUCACCUUCCUCCCUUUCUUCUUCCCCACCAAAAUAAAACUUGACUCUACAACCGGGCGACAGGCAACGAGGUGAGCCGCCCACGGAGUGCAAGAGGGUCGCCGUUCAAGUAGAGAAGGUAGGCACGCAUGACAGCCCGACAGGUGUUUUCGGUCCGGCGGGUAAGAGGAAGAUGCGGCGAGAAAAAAAUAAGUUUUUGAUAGAAACGUUCUUGAAGAUGCGAUUUUUAUGGGUCUAUCCUUUCUCCCACUUCCCUCGAUCCUGAUUGGUGGGUCCAAUAUAAGGGGUAUGGUGGGCCCGAUGCGGGUGAGAAAUAUUUUCAAUUAUUUUCAAUCUUCAUAGUAUAGAUAUAGACAAUGACAAGUGGUAAAGUUAAAUGUUUUACUCCUACAAUGUUGAUAAAUGAUAAUGACAAUAAACCCUCUAACUUCUCCCACAGGGCGACCAUAUUGCCAAAUUAAAGAUCAGUGGCAGUUGCACGCUGAAGAAUUGAUGAUUAUAAGAGAAAACCAUGGACUAAGGCUAUGACUACGAAGAGGGCUAAGUUUCUGUUUUUGUGCUUGGACAAGGUCGUGUUGCCUCAGUCCCCUUGUGUGCGUGUGAGUGGUGUUGUGCUUGUAUAUGGGUGUGUGGUUUUUCUUCUUUCCUUUGUAAGGGGUUCUUUACCCCCUUUUUCCUCUUCUUAAUAUAAAAUACCCAGCUCUCCUGCAUGUUGGCUUGAUAUUUAGGAAGUAAAUGAAAAUAGGAAAAAAAUUUAAAUUUGUAA